Molecule: ribosomal RNA, 1107 nt
Filed under: uncultured bacterium
Lineage: Bacteria
Description: bacterial SSU rRNA
Rfam family: Bacterial small subunit ribosomal RNA
Source: RNAcentral
GCUCAGGACGUACGCUGGCGGCACCGUUAUACAUGCAAGUCGAACGAAGUAGCAAUACUUAGUGGCAGACGGGUGAGUAACAUGUAGGUAUCUUCCCUUUGGUGAGGAAUGACACGAGGAAACUUGUGCUAAUACCUCAUAAGUCUUUACGGAGAAAGCUUUAUGCGCCGAAGGAUGAGCCUGCACUUGAUUAGUUUGUUGGUGGGGUAAUGGCCUACCAAGACUUUGAUCUAUAGCUGAUCUGAGAGGAUGAUCAGCCACAUUGGGACUGAGACACGGCCCAAACUCCUACGGGAGGCAGCAGUAGGAAACAUUGCACAAUGGAGGAAACUCUGAUGCAGGGAUGCCGCGUGAGUGAAGGAAGGCCUUUGGGUUGUAAAGCUCUUUCGUCGGGGAAGAAAAUGACUGUACCCGAAUAAGAAGGUCCGGCUAACUUCGUGCCAGCAGCCGCGGUAAUACGAAGGGACCUAGCGUAGUUCGGAAUUACUGGGCUUAAAGAGUUCGUAGGUGGUUAAAAAAGUUGGUGGUGAAAUCCCAGAGCUUAACUCUGGAACUGCCAUCAAAACUUUUUAGCUAGAGUAUGAUAGAGGAAAGCAGAAUUUCUAGUGUAGAGGUGAAAUUCGUAGAUAUUAGAAAGAAUACCAAUUGCGAAGGCAGCUUUCUGGAUCAUUACUGACGCUGAGGAACGAAAGCAUGGGUAGCGAAGAGGAUUAGAUACCCUCGUAGUCCAUGCCGUAAACGAUGUGUGUUAGACGUUGGAAAUUUAUUUUCAGUGUCGCAGCGAAANAUUAAACACACCGCCUGGGGAGUACGACCGCAAGUUAAAACUCAAAUGAAUUGACGGGGACCCGCACAAGUAGUGGAGCAUGUGGUUUAAUUCGAAGAUACGCGCAGAACCUUCACUUGACAUGUUCGUCGCGACUCUAAGAGAUUAGAGUUUUCGGUUCGGCCGGACGAAACACAGGUGCUGCAUGGCUGUCGUCAGCUCGUGUCGUGAGAUGUUGGGUUAAGUCCCACAACGAGCACAACCCUCACUUUUAGUUGCCAUCAUUUAGUUGGGCACUCUGAAAGAACUGCCAGUGAUAAGCUGGAGGAAGGUGUGGCUGG